GCCACCAGAGACAGCAGCAGUAAUCCACUGGGGUACGCUUCCGCGCUGUGGAGAGUAUGUUCUUUUGCUCUUCACAGUAAAUCUUGCUAAUGCUCACUUUUUGGGUCCACACUACUUUUAUGAACUGUAACACUCACUGCGAAGGUCUUUAGCUUAACUCCUGAAGCCAGCAAGACCACGAAUCCUCUGGGAGGCAUGAACAACUCCUGACCCGCCACCUUAAAGAGCUGUAACACUCACUGUGAAGGUCUGCGGCUUCACUCCUGAAGUCAGCGAGACCACGAACGCACCAGAAGGAAGAAACUCCCCACACAUGUGAACAUCUGAAGGAACAAACUCCCGACACUCCAUCUUCAAGAACUGUAACACUCACCGUGAGGGUCUGCAGCUUCAUUCUUGAAGUCAGCAAGACCAAGAACCCACCAGAAGAAACCAAUUCCGGCCACAGUGUCUCCUUGGCUUACUGUGGAAAAACUCAAGGGGAGAUUAUUCUCUGAAAAAUCUUACCAGGAGGUGAAAAUCUGACAGCUCAAAAUGAAGCAAAAACCCAAGAUUAAAACAGACACCAUUUUGUGCCCACUCAGUCUUCUUUCCAGGGUCAUACAUGUGUUUAUAACCGCACUUCUACAUUCUAUUAUGAGGGCAAGAGUUGUGGCUGCUAUAUAAAUGCUUCCUAGCAUAGUUCCUGACAACUAGGUGAUUCAUGAAUAUUUGCUGAAGAAAUAAAAAUAACUUUAUGAACAUCGUUACACAUCCUGCUUAAUUUUUCAAUUCGC
RNAcentral lists this long non-coding RNA (776 nucleotides) under Homo sapiens (human). Its description in RNAcentral is "HSALNT0376152". The record is from RNAcentral. Lineage: Eukaryota; Metazoa; Chordata; Mammalia; Primates; Hominidae.